AGCUCCAAUAGCGUAUAUUAAAUUUGUUGAAGUUAAAAAGCUCGUAGUUGGAUCUCAGGCCAGAUGUGUCGGUGUGGUCAAUGGCCAUCUCCGUUCACAUUUGCCUUUUUUAGCUGUUUGUCUUCUUAUUGUUCUCUUCACUGAGUGCUUUAAGGAGCUCGGCACGUUUACCUUGAAAAAAUCAGAGUGCUUAAAGCAGGCCUUUGUGCUUGUAUGUUGUUGCAUGGAAUAAUGGAAUAGGACUUCGGUUCUAUUUUGUUGGUUUUCGGUACUGAAGUAAUGAAUAAUAGAGACAGUCGGGGGCAUUUCUAUGGCUGUGUUAGAGGUGAAAUUCUGAGAUCGCAGCCAGAGAGACUACUGCGAAAGCAUUUGCCAAGCAUGUCUUCA
This 387-nucleotide ribosomal RNA is filed under the name uncultured eukaryote. Its description in RNAcentral is "SSU rRNA". It matches the Rfam family "Eukaryotic small subunit ribosomal RNA", at positions 587 to 972 of the family's 1831-position model. The record is from RNAcentral.